Molecule: ribosomal RNA, 403 nt
Filed under: bacterium
Lineage: Bacteria
Description: partial 16S ribosomal RNA
Rfam family: Bacterial small subunit ribosomal RNA
Source: RNAcentral
UGGGGAAUAUUGCACAAUGGAGGGAACUCUGAUGCAGCGACGCCGCGUGAACGAAGAAGGCUUUCGAGUCGUAAAGUUCUUUUAUAUGGGAAGAUAAUGACGGUACCAUAAGAAAAAGCCCCGGCUAACUACGUGCUAGCAGCCGCGGUAAUACGUAGGGGGCUAGCGUUGUCCGGAAUCACUGGGCGUAAAGGGUUCGCAGGCGGAAAUGCAAGUCAGGUGUAAAAGGCAGUAGCUUAACUACUGUAAGCAUUUGAAACUGCAUAUCUUGAGAAGAGUAGAGGUAAGUGGAAUUUUUAGUGUAGCGGUGAAAUGCGUAGAUAUUAAAAAGAAUACCGGUGGCGAAGGCGGCUUACUGGGCUCAUUCUGACGCUGAGGAACGAAAGCGUGGGUAGCAAACAGG